RNAcentral lists this ribosomal RNA (301 nucleotides) under uncultured bacterium. RNAcentral's name for it is "partial 16S ribosomal RNA". It matches the Rfam family "Bacterial small subunit ribosomal RNA", at positions 509 to 809 of the family's 1533-position model. The record is from RNAcentral.
CAGUCGCCACGGGAAUACGUAGGUGGCAAGCGUUGUCCGGAAUUAUUGGGCGUAAAGGGCUCGCAGGCGGUUUCUUAAGUCUGAUGUGAAAGCCCCCGGCUCAACCGGGGAGGGUCAUUGGAAACUGGGAAACUUGAGUGCAGAAGAGGAGAGUGGAAUUCCACGUGUAGCGGUGAAAUGCGUAGAGACGUGGAGGAACACCAGUGGCGAAGGCGACUCUCUGGUCUGUAACUGACGCUGAGGAGCGAAGGCGUGGGGAGCGAACAGGAUUAGAUACCCGGGUAGUCCCUGUCUCUUAUAA